GAAUUGAUAUAUMAAACAAACUUUAWYAMUAGGUGGAAUAAAAUGUAUUGAAUUAUUUAUUAUGAUAAAAUUGUACUAAAAAAAUUUAAAUUUAAACCAGAAUUAGAUACUCUGUUAUAUUAAAUUAAAGAAGUUUCCAAAUUAUUAAUAGAUAUGAUCUUGAAAUUUAAAAAAUUUGGCGGUAACUUAUUUUACUAGAGGAACCUGUUUUUAUUCGAUAUGCCACGUUAAAUUUUACUUAUUUUUUAUAGUUUGUAUACCAUCAUUUUUAGAUAAUUUUAACAAAAAAAUAUUAAAUAUAAUAGUUUAUAAAAAUUAGAUCAAGGUGCAGCUUAUAAAUAAGGGAGAAUGGGUUACAAUAAAAUUUAUUUAUAUGAAUUAGGUUUUGAAAUUGACUUAUAAAGGAGGAUUUAGUUGUAAUUUAGGAUUAAUAAAUCAAGGUGAGAUAAAUAUUAAGUUGUGU
RNAcentral lists this ribosomal RNA (463 nucleotides) under Palicus caronii. RNAcentral's name for it is "partial 12S ribosomal RNA". The record is from RNAcentral. Lineage: Eukaryota; Metazoa; Arthropoda; Malacostraca; Decapoda; Palicidae.